GUCCACGCCCUAAACGAUGCUCACUAGGUGUUGGGGAAGCGAUUCCUUGGUACCGUAGCUAACGCGUGAAGUGAGCCGCCUGGGGAGUACGGCCGCAAGGUUAAAACUCAAAGGAAUUGACGGGGACCCGCACAAGCGGUGGAUGAUGUGGAUUAAUUCGAUGCAACGCGAACAACCUUACCUACCCUUGACAUGUCUGGAAGCCUGCUGAAAGGCGGGUGUGCUCGAAAGAGAACCGGAACACAGGUGCUGCAUGGCUGUAGU
This 264-nucleotide ribosomal RNA is filed under the name uncultured bacterium. RNAcentral describes it as "partial 16S ribosomal RNA". It matches the Rfam family "Bacterial small subunit ribosomal RNA", at positions 793 to 1055 of the family's 1533-position model. The record is from RNAcentral.